This 219-nucleotide ribosomal RNA is filed under the name Triticum aestivum (bread wheat). RNAcentral describes it as "partial small subunit ribosomal RNA". The record is from RNAcentral. Lineage: Eukaryota; Viridiplantae; Streptophyta; Magnoliopsida; Poales; Poaceae.
GGGCGUGUGGCUUACAAACUGCUCCUGCCGGACAACACCAACAUCCACCCAGUCUUCCAUGUGAGCCAACUGAAAAAACAUGUGGGACCGAAAGCAGUUCCUUGUACUGAUUUGCCACUGGUACGCGCAGAUGGGAUGAUCCAGACCGAACCUGUCAUGGUCCUGGAAACACGUCAGGUACCACACAACAACUUGCCGGCGGUUCAAUGGCUUGUAUAG